UACGUAGGGUGCAAGCGUUAAUCGGAAUUACUGGGCGUAAAGCGUGCGCAGGCGGUUAUGCAAGACAGAUGGGAAAUCCCCGGGCUCAACCUGGGAACUGCAUUUGUGACUGCAUGGCUAGAGUGCGGCAGAGGGGGAUGGAAUUCCGCGUGUAGCAGUGAAAUGCGUAGAUAUGCGGAGGAACACCGAUGGCGAAGGCAAUCCCCUGGGCCUGCACUGACGCUCAUGCACGAAAGCGUGGGGAGCAAACAGG
This 253-nucleotide ribosomal RNA is filed under the name uncultured bacterium. RNAcentral describes it as "partial 16S ribosomal RNA". It matches the Rfam family "Bacterial small subunit ribosomal RNA", at positions 524 to 776 of the family's 1533-position model. The record is from RNAcentral.